CAGAUCUUUACCGUCUAGAUGCAUCAAAAAAAAGGUCCCUGAUGAAUUUAUUUUAUGUUUUUGGCUCUGUAAUGAAAAUUUUAAGAAAGAGCCAUUAUUUCUUGGAGGACAUUAUAAAAUUCCAAAGCAUUUUUUUAUGGGUUCCGAUGGUUUAACAAGAACAAUGGACAGACAGAACAAUGGAUUCCAAUACAGAAGCUUUAUUUUGAACCUGUUAUCUGUCACUGGCCCAUUUUAAACACCAAUGUGAAAAUGCACUUUAAUAAUUAUAAAUCAAGAAUAGUUUGGAAAUGGCGUGUCUUUGUAAAAGAGACGCUCUUUUUUUAUCCUUUGAUUUUGUCCAAUGCAGUGAUUCUAUUUUAAAGAAUUUCCUGUAAAAUUAACGCCAAAUGUGGACUUCCAAAUUUUAAAAAACUGAGAUUUCAUGGCGGAUCAUAAAUUAGCCGCUGGAUGACUUAAAUCUAUGUGGGACAAAAUAUCGCGAUAAUAUUGUAUCAUGAGUUAAGCUGUAUAGAUAUAUUGCAGAAUCGGGAUAUUGUGAGAAAUUAUUACCAGGUUCUAAAUAUAGCGAUGAUGGUAUCAUGCGUUAAGCUGUCUUGAUAUAUCGCAAAAUCGUGAUAUUUCAUUAUGGUGAACAAAAUAUUGCAAUAUCGCAUCAAUUAUCGGGAACAAAAUAUUGCGAUAAUAUGGUAUCAUAGGUUAAGCUAUAUAGACACAUCGCAGAAUUGUGAUAAAGUAAUAUAUCAUUACAGGGGACAAAAUAUUGCGAUAUUGGAUCUUGAGUUAAGCUGUAUUGAUAUUUCGCAGAACCAUGAUAUUGUGAUAUAUCAUUACCAGGGACAAAAUAUUGCAAAAUCUAUUGAUUAUCGGGGCAAAAUAUCUCGAUAAUAUUGUAUCAUGAGUUAAGCUGUGUCGAUAUAUCGCAGAAUCGUGAUAUUGUGAUAUGUCAUUACCGACCACAAAAUCUUGCGAUAAUAUUGUGAGUAUUGUGACUGUCUUGUCAGAAAAGAUUUUCUCUCAGAUGAACAUGCACUUCCAUGACCAGCAUGUUUGGUUCUAAAGACAAACAUCACCAUUUAUUUUUCUCAAAAUUUAUUUAGAUUGGCUAUCGAAUCCAGAUCACGUCUGAAAUGCAGGAUGCUCUCCUUUUAAAGGUUUGCGUGGUAGGACGCGACUCGUUUAGCGGGAUGGUUGUGGUCGAACCGCUCGUAGCCUUAGAGUCUGUUUGUGUUUGUUUGGUGAAGGCUGGUGAAUCUCGUAACGCAACGUGGGAUUUGAUUGUUGUUAGUCAAGACUUCAGUGAUUAACGAAUUGUAAAUAGAUAAGUUUGCCUCCUUUUUUUUUUUUUUAAAGACGUUUAAUAAAUUUUCUGUGAUGGGUGUUUUUAAAUUCUGCUGUGAUUAUUGGGUAGUGUAUGAUUAUAUGCAUGGCUGUUAAAAUAAAAGUGGGUGGGGCUGAAGGCGGAGCUGUGAGCCAGUUGUGGGCGUGUCAAACGAAUGCAACGAACAUACUUUUUGUAUUUAUGAAGAUGAUUGACAGGUGAUGUCCAUCAAUAGCCUGUUCUCUGCUUUAAAAGGAGGCGGGGUCUUGCGCGAGGUUAUUUUAGGAAUAAUGUUUAGAAUCUGAGAGAUUGCGAAGGUCAUUUCAAAAAGGUGCUAUACAAUUUAUUCUUAAACAACUAGAGAAGAAUGAGGUAAAAACUAUAUCGUUAAGAAGUGACCGUCUUGACAAUGACUGUUUUUAUGUUGUGUUUUCUUGAAGCGAGACUAUUAUUUUACUCUUUUACGAAUAUAUUAACAAAAAGGCAUUUUAACUUUGUACUGGAUGAAAAUGUAAAAGUCAAAAAGAUAAAUAAAAUUGUACAGAUUCAUGUGUUUUAGCCUAGACAUUACUGUAGUAUGUGCCUCUCGGUAAGAAACAUUCAUACAUACUGUAUCCACAUGCUGCCUUCAGGUCACGUCGGAAACGUUGCAUUUACGAGUCGAGCGCACAUUAACGUUUUUGGGUUUCGAAGCAGUUAAUUGGUCAUAAUUUGGUUUUCAUUGCAUAGUAAAUGUCAAACUAGGCAGUUUAUGAGGACACAAAACCACAUUUACCAUCAUUCCUUGCAGUAGUGACUAUUGAAAGACACUUCAUGCGCAUCUACUCUUCGUUUCUGCAGAUCAAAUAAAAAAAAACGUCUAGCGUUUGUCAGGAAGUAAAUACAAAACAUUUGAUUCCUUCACGUCAGCUUUCGAACUCGUAAGUCGUAGUUUCCACGCAGGACUUGAAGGCGGCAUUACUGUACACUGUUACGUAACUGCUUGAAAGUGAUGGCAAAACUGCAUUACCCAACAUUCCUUUCUACAACCUCCCUCCGUGUACUCUUGCUACAGUCAGACUGUGUUUUUUUAUUUUAUAUUUGAUUGUUGUUGCCUCAGUAUUUAUUGGCGUACAGCCUCGUCCAUCUGAACAGUCCGCAAGUCUCUUUCUUUGGUAACACACGUAUAUCCUCUUCUCUCACUCUCAGUGUGGCUGUAGUUCUGUUGUAUUUCGAUGGUCUUUGGAGUGUUAUAGUAGCAGUUCAUCCUUCCAUGAUUCUCUCUGUACGCAGUUAAAGCAGCUGAACACAUUUGCUGCUUUACUGUGCACUUGUACUGGGGAACACUUGAAUUAAAUGUACUGUUUUUGUGCUAAAA
RNAcentral lists this long non-coding RNA (2678 nucleotides) under Danio rerio (zebrafish). RNAcentral describes it as "lncRNA si:ch73-21k16.6 (ENSDARG00000096770.2)". The record is from RNAcentral. Lineage: Eukaryota; Metazoa; Chordata; Actinopteri; Cypriniformes; Danionidae.